GCCAGGUGCGGUGGCACACACCUGUAAUCCCAGCUGCUCGGGAGGUUGAGGCAGGAGGAUCACGAGUUCAAAGCCAGCCUCAGCAAAAGAGAGGCAUUAAGCAACUCAGUGAGACCCUGUCUCUA
This 125-nucleotide small RNA is filed under the name Marmota monax (woodchuck). The record is from RNAcentral. Lineage: Eukaryota; Metazoa; Chordata; Mammalia; Rodentia; Sciuridae.